This 465-nucleotide ribosomal RNA is filed under the name Vreelandella stevensii. RNAcentral's name for it is "partial 16S ribosomal RNA". It matches the Rfam family "Bacterial small subunit ribosomal RNA", at positions 338 to 795 of the family's 1533-position model. The record is from RNAcentral. Lineage: Bacteria; Pseudomonadati; Pseudomonadota; Gammaproteobacteria; Oceanospirillales; Halomonadaceae.
CCUACGGGGGGCAGCAGUGGGGAAUAUUGGACAAUGGGCGAAAGCCUGAUCCAGCCAUGCCGCGUGUGUGAAGAAGGCCUUCGGGUUGUAAAGCACUUUCAGUGGGGAAGAAAGCCUUGGGGCUAAUACCCUCGAGGAAGGACAUCACCCACAGAAGAAGUACCGGCUAACUCCGUGCCAGCAGCCGCGGUAAUACGGAGGGUGCGAGCGUUAAUCGGAAUUACUGGGCGUAAAGCGCGCGUAGGCGGUCUGAUAAGCCGGUUGUGAAAGCCCCGGGCUCAACCUGGGAACGGCAUCCGGAACUGUCAGGCUAGAGUGCAGGAGAGGAAGGUAGAAUUCCCGGUGUAGCGGUGAAAUGCGUAGAGAUCGGGAGGAAUACCAGUGGCGAAGGCGGCCUUCUGGACUGACACUGACGCUGAGGUGCGAAAGCGUGGGUAGCAAACAGGAUUAGAUACCCUGGUAGUC